Molecule: ribosomal RNA, 546 nt
Filed under: uncultured bacterium
Lineage: Bacteria
Description: partial 16S ribosomal RNA
Rfam family: Bacterial small subunit ribosomal RNA
Source: RNAcentral
UGGGGAAUAUUGCACAAUGGGCGCAAGCCUGAUGCAGCCAUGCCGCGUGUGUGAAGAAGGCCUUCGGGUUGUAAAGCACUUUCAGCGAGGAGGAAGGUGGUGAACUUAAUACGUUCAUCAAUUGACGUUACUCGCAGAAGAAGCACCGGCUAACUCCGUGCCAGCAGCCGCGGUAAUACGGAGGGUGCAAGCGUUAAUCGGAAUUACUGGGCGUAAAGCGCACGCAGGCGGUUUGUUAAGUCAGAUGUGAAAUCCCCGGGCUCAACCUGGGAACUGCAUUUGAAACUGGCAAGCUAGAGUCUCGUAGAGGGGGUAGAAUUCCAGGUGUAGCGGUGAAAUGCGUAGAGAUCUGGAGGAAUACCGGUGGCGAAGGCGGCCCCCUGGACGAAGACUGACGCUCAGGUGCGAAAGCGUGGGAGCAAACAGGAUUAGAUACCCUGGUAGUCACGCUGUAAACGAUGUCGAUUUUGGAGGUUGUGCCCUUGAGGCGUGGCUUCCGGAGCUAACGCGUUAAAUCGACCGCCUGGGGAGUACGGCCGCAAGGUU